Molecule: long non-coding RNA, 215 nt
Filed under: Capsicum annuum
Lineage: Eukaryota; Viridiplantae; Streptophyta; Magnoliopsida; Solanales; Solanaceae
Description: long non-coding RNA (CANN_LNC002494)
Source: RNAcentral
AUGACAUUAUCUAAAGAAUACUCAUGUGUUAAAGUAAUAAAUACAGAAACCAAACGCUACAAUAAAUUAUGAUCUAAAACUUUUUGAAACUUGUCCGUCAAUCUCAUUUUUUUUAAAUGUCAUAAGUAUUAGUUAUGAAUUCAGAGGCGGAGCUAGAAUUUAUGCUUAGGAAGUUCAAAAUCUGAAGAAAAAAUCCACCAAAAGGUAUUCAACAU